ACGCUAGCGGCAGGCCUAAUACAUGCAAGUCGAGGGGUAGAGUUAGCUUGCUAGCUUGAGACCGGCGCACGGGUGCGUAACGCGUAUGCAACCUACCUUAAUCAGGGGGAUAGCCCGAAGAAAUUCGGAUUAACACCGCAUAAAAUCACAGAAUAGCAUUAUUCAAUGAUCAAAUAUUUAUAGGAUUAAGAUGGGCAUGCGUGUCAUUAGCUAGUUGGCGGGGUAACGGCCCACCAAGGCGACGAUGACUAGGGGAUCUGAGAGGAUGACCCCCCACACUGGUACUGAGACACGGACCAGACUCCUACGGGAGGCAGCAGUAAGGAAUAUUGGUCAAUGGAGGCAACUCUGAACCAGCCAUGCCGCGUGCAGGAAGACUGCCCUAUGGGUUGUAAACUGCUUUUAUCUGGGAAUAAACCUAUUUACGUGUAAAUAGCUGAAUGUACCAGAAGAAUAAGGAUCGGCUAGCUCCGUGCCAGCAGCCGCGGUAAUACGGAGGAUCCAAGCGUUAUCCGGAUUUAUUGGGUUUAAAGGGUGCGUAGGCGGCCUGUUAAGUCAGAGGUGAAAGACGGUAGCUCAACUAUCGCAGUGCCUUUGAUACUGAUGGGCUUGAAUGGACUAGAGGUAGGCGGAAUGAGACAAGUAGCGGUGAAAUGCAUAGAUAUGUCUCAGAACACCGAUUGCGAAGGCAGCUUACUAUGGUUUUAUGACGCUGAGGCACGAAAGCGUGGGGAUCAAAC
RNAcentral lists this ribosomal RNA (740 nucleotides) under uncultured bacterium. Its description in RNAcentral is "bacterial SSU rRNA". It matches the Rfam family "Bacterial small subunit ribosomal RNA", at positions 33 to 773 of the family's 1533-position model. The record is from RNAcentral.